This 21-nucleotide non-coding RNA is filed under the name Caenorhabditis elegans. Lineage: Eukaryota; Metazoa; Nematoda; Chromadorea; Rhabditida; Rhabditidae. The record is from RNAcentral.
UACUUUUUCCGAUAUGUUUCC